UCAUGCCUGUAACAGAUUCGCUGUGUCUGGCAGAACCUCUCUUCGGUUCUUCCUCUGAAUGAAUGCCAUUGACACGCCUCCGCACUCCUCCCCAUCCCUGCGCUGCUGCCGCCACCGCCGCCUCCGCACUCCUCCCCGUCGCCGCACUGCCGCCUCCGCCUCCGCGCAGGUGAUCGUGACCGCCGCGCCGACGCCCACACCCAGCUCUUCUCCCCGGCAUUCGCUCUCCUCCGUGCUCUCUCCACGCGCCGCGUCCAGCGCUCCUCCCCCACCGUGUUGCCCGCAGACUCCGACGACGAGGGCUAAGCGUGGAUGUAACGUGGACGCAAAAACAUACAGAACUGAUUACCGCAUCUGCAGCUCUCUUCAUUCAUCGCCGUCCUUAUCCCUCAGACUGGAGUGGAAUGGACAUCCAUCCAGGCUUGGUUGCCUUCUUCUACUUGUUGAGGCGUUUCUUCAUCUAACUAAGCCCGGUAUAAAGGACUCAAAGCUUUUGUUCUUACUGGUGGCGUCUUCUUUGUGCCUGUCUGCUGCGGUUGCUGUGCAGGAAACUUGGCUAGCCGACCUCAAUAGCAAAUAUGAUGGAGGCUCUUCUGAUGAUUGGUAGGGGGAGUUCUUCCCCAGCAUCCCAAAAAUCAAGUAUGAGGGUCCAACCAGCAAGUACCCUCUUGCUUAUUAGUGGUAUAAUGCAGAGGAAGUGAUUCUUGGAAAGAAGAUGAAAGAUUGGAUGCGGUUCAGCGUCGCCUUCUGGCCCACAUUCUGUGGUACUGGCGCAGAUCCUUUUGGUGCCCCUACAAAUGCGUGGCCUUGGGAGGAUGGCACAAAUUCGUUGGCCAUGGCUACGAGAAGAAGUUUGACGAUUACCUAAUGUUGUGUUUGGUUACAACAUUCCAGGUUAUGUUUCAAUGCAUUUGUUGGAACCAACUUCUGUUUGAAUCGGUAUUGCAGUGAGAGCUCACUUUGAAUUCAUGGAGAUGCUGGGAGUUGACAAAUGGUGCUUCCAUGAUAGGGAUAUUGCCCCGGAUGGCAAAACCCUUGAGGCGCCGAAGAGGAACCACCCGCUGAUGUUGCUGUGCGGCAUGGCCACCAACGUUGUUGGGUUCGACCUGUCCACGGGGUGAGCUUUCAGCCAUGAAGUUCAGAAACUACCUUCCUCAUGAUGAACAAUUGUGAGGUGGUAAC
Molecule: long non-coding RNA, 1182 nt
Organism: Phragmites australis (common reed)
Lineage: Eukaryota; Viridiplantae; Streptophyta; Magnoliopsida; Poales; Poaceae
Exons: 7
Source: RefSeq, a predicted model, not a curated record